AAUUAAUACGAAGUGGUGUUUUGUGGUUAAUGAUCGCAUUAAGUUAGUCGGAAGACAUUCGCGAGUGUUAUUAUAUCGGAGUAUUCAAUAAACAAAGUGUAUCUGCCUGUUUUCGCUUCGUGCCGGGAAGCCGCUUCAUAACUCGAAAGUUUAUGCGAAGUUUUGAGUUAAUUCGUUUGGGGUUCGGAGUAGGAGUCUACUCCGAGGGUGGUGGCUUAGGUCUCAUCAUCAUCAUCACCUUUCAUCAUUUCAUUAAUCAUCAAGAAAAAAAAUACGUAAGACAUGGCUGUAUGGGCAUAGUUCCCUUUGCCUUACCCUUCGAGGAAAACCAAAACAAAAAAAAAUGGUGGAGUUCUAUUGUUAUUGAUGUAUUGAUAUUUUCCUGUGCUACUUUUUUCCUACCUAGGUACUUUGUUCGAAUUUGUAACUUACAAGUUCAUCGAGUCGAGCCCUACUUCCCCGUUUUUGCGUGGAUAUUCAACUGGUAAAACUUCCAGAACCAUUAUGUGUUUUGGAUAAAGCCGAAAUGAUAAAAAGUUUGUGGAUAAUGUGUUAGAUGCUGAUCGACUUUGUGUGUAACUCAUACUAAGAGAUGCAAGCAACAAUAACAAGUCUCCUGAUGAAUGUUCCAGUCCAAGUGUUGGAAGCAAUGUGUCUGUAUAAGUUGUGGAAUAUCUUUGGGAAGGCAUACAAGAAGAGAAAAUCACAGGCCAUAAGCUUAUGGAAAGAAAUGAAGAGUGACAUUAUAUAAAAAAACAAAAAUAUCUCCGAGACAGGUAAUAGGGUGAAUAUCAAAAUGUGCCAAGUUUGGUGGCGAACUUUCAUAUUCACCCAAUAAAGUAUUAAGGAUUAUAAUUUACAUUGUGUAAGAGCUAUUUAAAAGGUUUUAUGUGUUCCAAUCAGUGUUCCCCAAAAACACAAUAGAUGGCAUUGUUAAGUUUUUUCUUCGUUUAAACUUCUAACUUCAUGGAUAAUAGACAUAUGCAUCUUUUAUCUUUGUUUUUGGGUAUAAAUGAUGAUGGUAGGUGUAUUAUGAUGAUACAACUUCCACCUAUUAUUAUUCUGAUCAAAAUAAAGAGAAGCAAUAUAGGUAGCUAUAUCAUUCUAUACAUAAUGUGAUCUGAAUAUCAAGAAACAAUUAGUUUUAUAUUAUAUGAUGAUGAUGAUUCCAUCAUUUCAUUACAAAUAGGUAAUUAUCACGUUAAAAGUGAACAACGCCAUCUAUCAUGUGUUUGGGGAAUGUCAAUUAGAAAGACCCUCAUUGUUAUAAGGCAACUUAAGUUGGCAUAUUUUAAUUUCAUCCCUAUAGAUUUAAUAAUAUUGUUAUAAUCAAGCAUAUUGUGUAAAACAUAUUAUUGUACAUGGGACAUCAAAACUACAAUUAUUUCUUUAAGAACAUUCAUAUUUGCCUUCAGAUUCCUGAUGGAUGUAUGUGUUGUUUGCAGGAUGAGCUCACCUCAAAAGUAUGAACAUAAGAGCUGUGUUAAGUGUGCCGUUCCGUUGCAUUGUAUGUAGUUAGUAGCUAUUUAGGUUCAUUAAUGUUGUUAAACUAUGAGCUUAAAUCACUUUAUAAUUUGUUAAUAAUAUCAUAUCAUUAAAUAGUUAAAUAAGCUAGUUAGGCACAUAACCCAUAUAUUUUAAUGUUAUUGUCAAGUUUAUUCUAUACCUACUUACUAAUAUGUUACCAUAUUAAAUUCCCUGACAUGAUUUAUGUAAUGACUAUGUACUAACAUCAGUAAGUAGUAACUGGGACCAGCAGCUUAACAUGCCAUUUGAAGCAUAGAUUAUCUUACUUCAGGCAAUAGGUUGAUCAGCCAGCCAUCUCCAAACCAAACUGGGGAUCACAAAGUAAUUUUUGUGGAUUUGAACCUAGGACCUCCAGAUGUGUUGACUCAACAGUCAGCUACUGGACCAUGGAGGCCAAGAGUACUUGGUUAAGUUGCUGUUUUAUUUCAACUAUUUAAUUAAAUGUAGAAAUAUUUUGUGUGGUAGCACCUACUUAUGAUAUUUUAAAUAUAUAAUAAAACAACUUA
Long non-coding RNA from Pectinophora gossypiella (pink bollworm), 2033 nucleotides. RefSeq lists it as uncharacterized. The transcript is spliced from 2 exons. Lineage: Eukaryota; Metazoa; Arthropoda; Insecta; Lepidoptera; Gelechiidae. The record is from RefSeq and is a predicted model, not a curated record.